AGUCGAACGGCAGCACGGGUGCUUGCACCUGGUGGCGAGUGGCGAACGGGUGAGUAGUAUCGGAACAUGUCCUGUAGUGGGGGAUAGCCCGGCGAAAGCCGGAUUAAUACCGCAUACGAUCUACGGAUGAAAGCGGGGGACCUUCGGGCCUCCGCUAUAGGGUUGGCCGAUGGCUGAUUAGCUAGUUGGUGGGGUAAAGGCCUACCAAGGCGACGAUCAGUAGCUGGUCUGAGAGGACGACCAGCCACACUGGGACUGAGACACGGCCCAGACUCCUACGGGAGGCAGCAGUGGGGAAUUUUGGACAAUGGGCGAAAGCCUGAUCCAGCAAUGCCGCGUGUGUGAAGAAGGCCUUCGGGUUGUAAAGCACUUUUGUCCGGAAAGAAAUCCUUGGCUCUAAUACAGUCGGGGGAUGACGGUACCGGAAGAAUAAGCACCGGCUAACUACGUGCCAGCAGCCGCGGUAAUACGUAGGGUGCGAGCGUUAAUCGGAAUUACUGGGCGUAAAGCGUGCGCAGGCGGUUUGCUAAGACCGAUGUGAAAUCCCCGGGCUCAACCUGGGAACUGCAUUGGUGACUGGCAGGCUAGAGUAUGGCAGAGGGGGGUAGAAUUCCACGUGUAGCAGUGAAAUGCGUAGAGAUGUGGAGGAAUACCGAUGGCGAAGGCAGCCCCCUGGGCCAAUACUGACGCUCAUGCACGAAAGCGUGGGGAGCAAACAGGAUUAGAUACCCUGGUAGUCCACGCCCUAAACGAUGUCAACUAGUUGUUGGGGAUUCAUUUCCUUAGUAACGUAGCUAACGCGUGAAGUUGACCGCCUGGGGAGUACGGUCGCAAGAUUAAAACUCAAAGGAAUUGACGGGGACCCGCACAAGCGGUGGAUGAUGUGGAUUAAUUCGAUGCAACGCGAAAAACCUUACCUACCCUUGACAUGGUCGGAAUCCCGCUGAGAGGUGGGAGUGCUCGAAARARAACMGGCGCACAGGUGCUGCAUGGCUGUCGUCAGCUCGUGUCGUGAGAUGUUGGGUUAAGUCCCGCAACGAGCGCAACCCUUGUCCUUAGUUGCUACGCAAGAGCACUCUAAGGAGACUGCCGGUGACAAACCGGAGGAAGGUGGGGAUGACGUCAAGUCCUCAUGGCCCUUAUGGGUAGGGCUUCACACGUCAUACAAUGGUCGGAACAGAGGGUUGCCAACCCGCGAGGGGGAGCUAAUCCCAGAAAACCGAUCGUAGUCCGGAUUGCACUCUGCAACUCGAGUGCAUGAAGCUGGAAUCGCUAGUAAUCGCAGAAGAGCAGCCGCGGGAAUACGUUCCCGGGUCUUGUACCCACCCCCCAACACACCAUGGGAGUGGGUUUUACCAGAAGUGGCUA
This 1368-nucleotide ribosomal RNA is filed under the name Burkholderia sp. PSTJ8. RNAcentral's name for it is "bacterial SSU rRNA". It matches the Rfam family "Bacterial small subunit ribosomal RNA", at positions 60 to 1432 of the family's 1533-position model. Lineage: Bacteria; Pseudomonadati; Pseudomonadota; Betaproteobacteria; Burkholderiales; Burkholderiaceae. The record is from RNAcentral.